AUUAGCCUGGAAUGUUCGAAAUAGCCUAUAAUUUGAACCUACAUUAGACGUAAGGGAGUUCGGUGUUUGAAUCCAAAUGUCAGGCCCCAAGAUAAUUCCGCCACAUGCCUUUAGGCGUGUGCAACGGCAGGGGAAGGCAGAGGUUAUCAACAGAGCACCCACCUAGCCUGGGCUAGGUGUCGAAAUAUAGGGGAAACGGCAUUUUGGGUAUUAA
RNAcentral lists this non-coding RNA (214 nucleotides) under Clostridiaceae bacterium. RNAcentral's name for it is "6S RNA". It matches the Rfam family "6S / SsrS RNA". From Rfam's summary of the family: E. coli 6S RNA was the first non coding RNA to be sequenced, but its function was unknown until recently. It consists of 184 nucleotides that fold into an extended hairpin structure with a large single-stranded internal bulge. The 6S RNA specifically associates with RNA polymerase holoenzyme containing the sigma70 specificity factor. Lineage: Bacteria; Bacillati; Bacillota; Clostridia; Eubacteriales; Clostridiaceae. The record is from RNAcentral.